ACACUUCACCAUUCCCCUUGCUUUGUAAUUGAAUUCCUGCAACAUAUCCAUUGUUGCAGGACUCUCGGACAUUCUGUUGAAAAAUACAGCUAGUGCCAGGACCAAAAAGAACAAGAUGAACUGACUGACCUCAUGCAAGUCGCCCAAAAUGAGGAUCGACUAAAUUAUUCAAACUGAACUGGAAAUAUGAGUGCUCACCAGCCAGCUGGGAGGCCUCACUGGAGAUUCUGGGAACUCAGGGUCUCCUCAUACUAGCAAAUAUUGCAAGAAGAAGGCACACAAGUUGAACAGUAAUUGAGCAGGUACUUCUCAUGAAAUACUCAAUUGGAAGAAGUUUGUAAUCCUCCUCCACCAAGACUACUGUUUGGCAAAGAUGGCUUUUAUCUUGCUAGCACACACAUUACUCUCCAAGACAACUUGAUGAACAUGAUCCAGUGGCUUUGCUAAUUGCCAUUCUUCUUUGAAAGUUUGAGGCUUAGAGUUAGAUGAAAUAUACACCAUCAAUCUACAAGAUUGUGAGAAACAAACAAAAUAAUGCAUGCAGAAGUGCUUAUAUGCUAAAAUAGGAUGCAAAUAUAGGGCUACCCCCCAAAAUUUGAUUUUCAAGAAUGUUUCACUGAGUUACUCAUUCAUACCAGGAAAAUUGAUCUUUUAUCUGGAUUCUGGGAAUGGGGCUUUGAAGCUCAAUUCACAAUAACUAAGAUAUGGAAUCAAGCUAAAUGUCCACCAACUGAUGACUAGAUAAGGAAAAUGUGGUGUAUAUACACAGUGGAAUACUACUCAGCUGUAAGAACAAAGGAAAUCCUUUCUUUUGCAAGAAAAUGGAUGCAACUGGAGACCAUUAUGCUUAGUGAAGCAAACCAAUCUCCAAUAGAAAAAUGUUUCCUGUCAUAUGUGGUAAUUAAUAAAGAAUACCAAAAAAAGUGGCUGUUUAACCAUGGACUGAUCAAUCAGUUAAAGGAUACAUCGAGCAGUGUUUGAUUCCUGAGAGAGCAAGAUGCUGUCUUGCCUAUCACCUUCAACUUCUGUCUGGACUACAUUCCAGUCUCUGUAGUGAAGAACAGUACUGUAGCUGACAGCAGUCUGCCUAUGCCCAAUGCUGACUCCCCUGGCCAGCUUGUUUGGAAGUGAUUACACGCAUGCUUCAAUGAAGGACUUGGUUCAACUCUCCUCCGAGAUCUUCAGUUGGACAGACUGUUCCUGUAAACAAACUGCUUUUCUUGUUCAUAAACCAGGGUGGAGGUCAGGGAGACCUAAUGGCACCCCGUCUUACAGAAAUCACUUAUGUGGAUGGAGAAUAUACACUGUACAUCCUGGGAUUUUUGUUUUGAGACUUGCUGCACUUGUUCACCAUCACACUGAUUUGAAAAUUUAUACAUAUGUCUACAAAGAAAACAGCAAAUUUGAAGUCAGUGUGAAGUACGAUGAAAACAUAAAAGGUAUACAUGUUUAAAGUUUGAGACUUCAGCUUAAAAUUAAAAUAAAAACCAGAAAAGGAUCAGUCUAUUGAAAAGAAACUAAGUGUUGUUGGAGUGAAAAGUAAAGAAUGAGAAACCUAACUCGAUUAUAUUUCUGAAUACUUUUGGGAUUAAAGUUGCAAUCUAAGAAAUUCAAAAAGAGGACAUCAGAGGCUACAGGUGAGUUAUAAAGUAGUGCCAAUGUUCCACUCACAGGCACAUUUUCACUAAGAGGCAGCUCAAGGACAGGUAUGACCUAAAACAGGUCGAAGCUGUAGGUUGUCUCAAAGGUUCUAUGAAGAAGAAUGCAUGAGAAGACUACAAAAAAUAAUGCAUGGAAAAAGGAUAUUUUGAAAAAACUAUGGAUGCAAUUCACAAUCUCUUACACCAAAAUCAACUUAGGUAGGUACUCCAUUUUCCAUGAACUUUAUGAAGUACCCUCAGCUCCUGCCAUUUCAGAGUAUGUCUGUAUUUAUUAAUACACAUAGAUGAGCAAUAAAUACCAAGUUGAGACUUUUACAUUACACUUAUGAAAAUGAAAAUUGGAUCUGAAUAGCCACUUCUUAAAAGUUUUCUACAAAUCUGUAGUCUUCCAGAACAUAUAGCAAGGACAGAAGUCUGUGUGUGCACAACAACAUUCUAUUCAUGCGCAUGCAACUUUGAGAAAAGCCAUUUCUGCAGACAGAAAAUGGAGAUUCUAGGUCAUGUUUUAAUGCCUACAUGACUUAGAACAUAUGAUUAGUAUUAAUCUGUUACUGAAGUUUUUUUUUUUUUUUUCCAGCAAUGAAGUAGAUGGUUUACUGACUGAAAUACAAUUGCACUUUGAACUUAAUUUGUAUUUUCCAUUUACUCAGCAUAGGUAAGGACAUUUCAAAAAGUUCAUGGGAAUUGGGAUUACAAGAUAAGUAUAUUUUUGUGCAAAUACUUGGUCAUCACCAAGUUCAUGGAAAAUGUAUGCUAAGGAAACAAUGCACAGUUCAAUUCCAGCUUCCUGUCAGCUUGGGAGUGCUCUCAUAAUACUGGCUAUGGUGAUACCCUUUUUUCAGAAUCUGGUGAAUGAGCAGUAAGAAAGGCUUCUCUGUCCACAGGGAGUUUGUAUCCAGUAGAGGAAACAAAUUUUCAGUAAUCAUAUGGUUGCUAUAAAUAUCUUAGGAGCAUCCACAUGCUCAAGCUUGUUUCUUUAAAAGUUUUCAUUUAAUUUCAAUUUUAUUAGACUGAAGAAGUUUAAACUCCUAUUUUACUUUUAAAAUUGUUUCACUGCCUAGCAAAAUAGCACAAAUAAAACACAAUGCAUGGUAAAGCAUUUUCAGAGAUAUUUUUAAACAAAACUUUGAAGAUCUUACUGAUUAUUAUCUCAAAGAUACAAAUGCCUUUUUUGAUCACACAGAGAAUGGACUGUCAGGAGAAAUUUGUUUUUUGUAACAAUUAUAAGGAUUAGUCUCUUAGCAGUGGUGGAUUUAAGACAGAUAACAUAAGCUGUUUAUGAAUACCCCACAGCAUCAUAAUACACAAAAACAAGAUUCAUGUCCUGACCUCACAUUCUUAUGAUUCCCUGUCUCAUUCAGAUAGCGUUCACAAUGAGGACCACAUCCUGUGAGGCUCCACAUGAUGCACACCUUCACCCCACCUUGAUCUCACUGCCUCUGUUUCCUACUUAACCCUUUGCUCAUUUGACUUAUUGCCCUAUUUCUCAGAUUCCCACUCUUUCCUCAGGUUGCUUAUACUCGCUGCUCCCUGUACUAGAACACUCCUUCUCCAGACAGUUCCAUGGCUGACUAUAGAUCUUUACUAUCAUAUUCUCUUAUCAGCAAAAGCUUUCCUGGACCUAUCAUCUACAUUUUACCACUACCCUAUUACUUUCUCAUUAUUAUUUAAGUAUUCUUUUAGGUACAACUUGUUUUCUGAUGUCUUAUCACUGUGCUUCCCUUACCCACUCAAAAAGGAAGAAUUAUGCGGACAAAGAUUGAGGUCUGUUUCGUGGUGAUAGGCCCUUGUAUCACAAAUACAGUAUCUGGCUGAUCAACUUAUUAAUAACCCCAUUGCACAGGAUGCCACAGAUUUAUAAUCCACACUGCAUGGGAUACUAAUUGGCAUUCUGAAGCACUAAUGAAAAGGAAAAGUAAUUUGCAGGAAGGAGACAGAGGCUGGACCUAGGAAGUAGACCUAAGGAAGUUCUGUUUAACCUGGACGGUGAAAAACUUGACCAAUGAGACCUUUCCUCUUAGUUAAGAAGGUUCACAAAGUACACAGAGGUUAGCGGCAGGCAUAGGAGCGAAUGGCUCAGAAAAGAUUCCAAUUAGUAGAAGAUGAGAGUAAAACGCAACUAUUUAGUAAUCACAGUGGUAUAAAAACUGGAAGCCAUAGCUAAGGACCUGAGUUACCUCAGGAGCACAGAUGAGAGUGAGUGAUUUAUGUUAACUGACCUGUUUUUCUGAGCCUCUGCCAACACUGGAUAUCUAGUUGUGGGACAACUAGGGUUUUAGUUGCUUAGCUUGCUUAUUCAUGUAUCUCUAGCACACUUCCUAUUAUCUCAGAUAAAGUCACCUAUCAGAGCAACCACACAACUUCUACUUUAAGUCAACUGGGUGAAUAGCAAAACAAAGGAUAAAGCACUCUGAAGAGUUGCUGUAGUAUCCAAAUGUCUGCUUUCUGUUUAAACUGCACGUCACACUGGUCAGCUCUGGGCCUCCCCAGUUUCCUUGCUGGCUCUCUUUCAUUGUGUUGGAUUUGUUCUUGGCACUGCUUUUUUUUUUUUUUUUUAAAAUACAUAUUUAUUUGUAAGAGAGGGAGAGACAGAGACCUUCCAACUGCUGAUUCAGCUCCCAGAUAGCCACACUAGUUAGUGCUGAGCCAUGCUGAAGCCAGGAGCAUCAUCUGGGUCUCCCACAUGGGCCAUCUUUUGCUGCUUUUCUUAGGCAUUAGAAGAGAGCUGGAUCAGAAGUGGAGCAGCUAAGACAUGAACUUGUGCACAUAUGGGAUGCAGGUAUUGGGGUGGCCCCUGGAAACUCCUUUGAAUGGAUCUGAACUAUGUCAAACUUUAUAUUCACAAUCAUUUGCAUCUCUUACUUGCUGUAAGAGAUUUCAACUAUAAUUCAGGCCAAAUGACAAAACCCAUCCCUUGUACAAUAGAGAGGCCUUAUUUGUAUGGAAAUAAGUAGGCAUAAACUUUUGAUUCAGAUAUGUUUUACAUGUAUAGCUUGGGUGAUGCCUAGAGUACAUACUUUUGAAAAGCUUCCAGGUGGUAAAUGAGGAUAAUUGCUAAGAUCAUGAAAACAUACAAAUAAAGUGCUUUUGUGCAAAAAGUUUUGAAAUUAGUGGUUUUUCAUAAGACGAGUUUGCUGUGAACUUUUUGAAUACUCCUCCCAUGUGUGGAUAUCAAAAUUUCUGUGCCAAAAGAAAUCCAUCUUUUAAUUCCAUUUACCACAAUAAAGUCCGCUCAUGCCAUAUCUUGCUUUAAAAAUAAUUAUAGGAGAGUUACUGUGCUAAAUGGCAAUUAUUCCUUGAACAAAUGCAUACUUGACAAUUCAUCACAUUACAACAAAAAUAGCAUUGUCAAAUAUAACAUUAUAAAGAACUGCUAACACCUAAUUUUUCUGUUUCCUUAGUCCUAGUAUUGCUAGGUCAGAGAAAAGCCUGACACAGAAUGAUAUUCUGGCAGGGUUGUGUGCUUCCUUAUACAAGGAAACCUGGAAUUUGCUCUUUAUCUUUUCUUUCUUCAUGUUAAUUAAAAAGGGCUUAAGAAUCUCAUGAUAUCCUUUACUUAUCUUUACACAAAAAGACAUAUAAUUCGACAUGGUUUAACAAACAUUGAAGUUAAUUAAUUUUUAAGUAUUUUCAGUAUCCUGGAUAAGACACAAAUGUCAGAGUAUUUCUCUUAACUUGUGGAUUACACUACAGAAUAUAUGUAAGUCAAGCUACAACAAAUUGUACAGAACCACUGUUCUCAAUGGUAAGGUUG
This is a long non-coding RNA of Lepus europaeus (European hare), 5415 nucleotides long. RefSeq lists it as uncharacterized. The transcript has 10 exons. The record is from RefSeq and is a predicted model, not a curated record. NCBI's taxonomy places the organism in Eukaryota, Metazoa, Chordata, Mammalia, Lagomorpha, Leporidae.